RNAcentral lists this ribosomal RNA (840 nucleotides) under uncultured bacterium. RNAcentral's name for it is "bacterial SSU rRNA". It matches the Rfam family "Bacterial small subunit ribosomal RNA", at positions 89 to 914 of the family's 1533-position model. The record is from RNAcentral.
CAGUGAGCGGCGGACGGGUGAGUAACACGUGCGUAACCUGCCCUGGAGCGGGGGAUAACAUUUGGAAACAGAUGCUAAUACCGCAUAACAAUCAAAACCACAUGGUUUUGAUUUCAAAGAUGGUUUCGGCUAUCACUCCAGGAUGGGCCCGCGGUGCAUUAGCUAGUUGGUAAGGUAACGGCUUACCAAGGCGAUGAUGCAUAGCCGAGUUGAGAGACUGAUCGGCCACAAUGGAACUGAGACACGGUCCAUACUCCUACGGGAGGCAGCAGUAGGGAAUCUUCCACAAUGGGCGCAAGCCUGAUGGAGCAACACCGCGUGAGUGAAGAAGGGUUUCGGCUCGUAAAACUCUGUUGUUGAAGAAGAACGUGCGCGAGAGUAACUGUUCACGCAGUGACGGUAUUCAACCAGAAAGUCACGGCUAACUACGUGCCAGCAGCCGCGGUAAUACGUAGGUGGCAAGCGUUAUCCGGAUUUAUUGGGCGUAAAGCGAGCGCAGGCGGUUACUUAAGUCUGAUGUGAAAGCCUUCGGCUUAACCGAAGAAGUGCAUCGGAAACUGGGCGACUUGAGUGCAGAAGAGGACAGUGGAACUCCAUGUGUAGCGGUGGAAUGCGUAGAUAUAUGGAAGAACACCAGUGGCGAAGGCGGCUGUCUGGUCUGCAACUGACGCUGAGGCUCGAAAGCAUGGGUAGCGAACAGGAUUAGAUACCCUGGUAGUCCAUGCCGUAAACGAUGAGUGCUAGGUGUUGGAGGGUUUCCGCCCUUCAGUGCCGGAGCUAACGCAUUAAGCACUCCGCCUGGGGAGUACGACCGCAAGGUUGAAACUCAAAGGAAUUGAC